UGGAUGAGUGUGUGUGUGAAUGAA
Molecule: non-coding RNA, 24 nt
Filed under: Cricetulus griseus (Chinese hamster)
Lineage: Eukaryota; Metazoa; Chordata; Mammalia; Rodentia; Cricetidae
Source: RNAcentral